AUCCUACUAGACUUUCUUUUGAUCUAUUUUUAUGUAUGGCAAAUUACAUAUUUAGACACAUCGUAUAUUUGUCUUUCAGUAUGCCUUGCUUCUUUUUGUUCAUUGUGUGAUGUAGCCUUAGUUUUCUUUAACCUAAUAGAUGGCAACAUUUCAACUAUUUUAUCUUAAUAUUGUUUAAAUGCUUUUCUUUGAAGAGCCCCCAGAGCGUGAGAAAACAGUUGAAGAAAGAUUCUAUGAAGCUGUUUACCCAAUUGAAGGUAGAUUGAUUAAGGAUGUGAGGCUAAACAAUAUUUGAGUUUAUUUGUUUGUUUGUUUGUUUGUUUGUUUGAAUUUGAAUCAAAUUCAUUGUGAGAUUUGCUGUUGAUUUUCGGUAUUAAGUUUUUUUACGUACUAGCAUACAUGUUUCAGUGACCAUUGUGUACUGGACACACAUAAUAUCUUCUUCAAGUUUUUCAGAUUUACUGUGGAUAUUGAUAUUACUUAUCUCAAAAUUUAAUAUCUUUAAAAUUCCUAUUAUAGCACAAAGGGAAGUUGAGGAGGAGGAAGAAGUCAUUUCUACAGAACUGGAGAUCCCUCACGUUGAAGGUGAAUAAAGUCUUUGCAUCAUUGUGCGCCCCAUUUUUCUGAACUUUCACUUUAUCUGUCUCUAAUACUGUUUACCAGAGGAUAGCAUAAAGUGACUGAGAUCUUUUCAUUUUUCUAUGGCUCUACUAUCCAAAGUUCAAGCCCUACUGCAUUUCUGAAUCUUAUUAUUCUUCAACACUGCUUUAAAUAAUUCUUUUAAUAGCUUUUUUGAGAUGAGUAUAUUGUAUAUGUUUGAUAAAACAGCAUAAUUUUUGAUAUAGAUUGUUUGCUUAUACACCAUGUUGAAAGCAGCCUACUGUGAUUUACCAAGUAUUUGAACUAUCUCCUAAAUGAUCACCACCUAUCUCUUUAAAGUGCCUGAGGUACCAAAGAGGCGUGUUCCAGAAGAAAGAAAGCCCAUUCCUGUCCCUAAAACAGAAGCUCCAGCGGCUAAAGUGCCUGAAGUCCCUAAGAAACCUGUUCCAGAAAAGAAAGUUGCUGUUGCUAAAAAGGAGGUGGCUCCCCCAGCAAAAGGUACAGUAUCUUUUGAAUGUGAGCUUUAACCAUUCACGUGCUAUUGUCCUGUUUUCCAAACUGUUAUUCAUUUCUCAACAUAACCAUCUGAUAUGUGCAGUCUUUGUGUGUUUUCUUGGAUGUGUGUUCUCAUCUAAGACAUUCAAAAACCUUAGAAAGAUUACUUAAAAGAAUUUUAAUACCUUUAGAGUUUCUAAAGUGCUAAAAAACCUGUGCCUGAAGAAAAAGUACGUUUGUGUUCCCAAAGGAGAACAUCUGCAUGCCAAAGACAUACUUACUGAU
Molecule: long non-coding RNA, 1380 nt
Filed under: Manacus vitellinus (golden-collared manakin)
Lineage: Eukaryota; Metazoa; Chordata; Aves; Passeriformes; Pipridae
Description: lncRNA (ENSMVIG00005000987.1)
Source: RNAcentral